GCGCACCAGGCGAGAAACUCCGCAAUGCGCGAAAGCGUGACGGGGGAACCCCAAGUGCCGUUGGUCUAUUGAUCGACGGCUUUUCGGGAGUUUAGGGAGCUCCCGGAAUAAGGGCUGGGUAAGUCGGGUGCCAGCCGCCGCGGUAAUACCCGCAGCCCCAAAUGGUGGUCGCGAUUAUUGGGCCUAAAGCGCUCGUAGCCGGGUCGGCAAGUCCCUUGUGAAAUCGGGCGGCUUAACCGUUCGGCUUGCAAGGAAUACUGUUGGCCUUGAGGCCGGGAGACGCCGAGGGUACUCCGGGGGUAGCGGUGAAAUGUUCUAAUCCUCGGGGGACCACCAGUGGCGAAGGCGCUCGGCGAGAACGGACCUGACGGUGAGGGGCGGAGGCUAGGGGAGCGAACGGGGAUUAGAUACCCCCGUAGU
Molecule: ribosomal RNA, 420 nt
Filed under: uncultured microorganism
Description: bacterial SSU rRNA
Rfam family: Archaeal small subunit ribosomal RNA
Source: RNAcentral